CAAUAGCGUAUAUUAAAGUUGUUGCAGUUAAAAAGCUCGUAGUUGGAUUUCUGGGAGGGUGCCGCCGUCCGGCGUGUCCGUGUGCAGUGGCGCCCUUCCAUCCUUCUGUUAGCGUCUCUUGGCAUUCAUUUGCUGGUGGCGGGCUCAGAUAUUUUACCUUGAGAAAAUUAGAGUGUUUCAGGCAGGCUAGGCCGGAAUACAUUAGCAUGGAAUAAUGGAAUAGAACUACGGUCUCUUUGUUGGUUUGAGGGACUGCAGUAAUGAUUAAUAGGGAUAGUUGGGGGCAUUAGUAUUUAAUUGUCAGAGGUGGAAUUCUCAGAUUUGUUAAAGACUAACUUAUGCGAAAGCAUUUGCCAAGGAUGUUUNCAUUGA
This 372-nucleotide ribosomal RNA is filed under the name uncultured eukaryote. RNAcentral's name for it is "partial 18S ribosomal RNA". It matches the Rfam family "Eukaryotic small subunit ribosomal RNA", at positions 592 to 976 of the family's 1831-position model. The record is from RNAcentral.